CAAAAUAGAACCAGCGUACAAUGGAUAACCGAAUCUGAAUAAAAAAAAAUCUACAAAUCAAAUAUCACUUGAAGAUCUGUUGAACUCUCAAUUGCGAUCUAAGAACACCUCAGGACCUACGUUUUGCUUUGUUUAUGAUUACGACCCUCAGUCGGAAUUCCCAAAGCCCUUCGGCACUCUUACUUAUGAUAACAACUCCUUUACUUAUGAUAAACAACUCCUAAACUGCAAAUAUUCCAAGAGAAAAGUCUUCUUCAAGCUACCAACUCAUCUGCCAAGCUCGGACCUGUUGUUGACUUUCUCUGUUUAACUUCCUACAAAAUGUUUUCCUUGCAUCUCUUAAAAGAUCACGAAGUUUAAAUCAAUUUAGAAUCUUGUAAACAUACGAAAUAAUUAAGAUAAGAUAUCAGUACGACCGGAAGAAAACAAUUCAACCAUAUAUUAUUCAUUUGUUUCUAAAUCUCAUGGUUCCAAUAUGUGAGUUAACUCUUGCACAUAAAGAGAGGGUAAAUACUAAAUAGUCAUGAAACUGGUAUUCCAAAUUCAGAGUGGCCAAGUACUCUCUUUAUAGCUGAUUUUACUACCUUGGUUGUCAACGCUACGCCGUCCAUAUGACAUAUCGAUAAGUAAUAAGCAUAUUCGUCACUGUAACUCCAUUUCAACAUGCGAUUCUGUAAUAAACCCACUAAAAAAAUCUCACAUUUGAACGGAAGAAUAGAGGAAUAUGAAAAGGACUUGAAAAGUAAAGCCCGAAACGAAUAAUUAUUGAAUUUCUGAAUUCUGUACCAUAAGCUUUGUUCUAUUUGUCGAUCCCUGCGAAUUUAAAAAAAAAAGAAGAAGAAGAAGAAAUUAAAGGAGGAUGCAAGUUAGCAGAAGAAUCAACGCACUUUGAUGGAACAGCGGCCCUAGCCCUCUUUAAGGUCUACAGUUCCAAACCAACCGACUGAAGCCAUAGACGAAGGACUGCAUUCACAAUUACAUAAAUAAAGAUUUCCUAUUUGGUCCAAAACCAGUGUGCCCGUUACGAUUAGUUGAAAAUUUAAGGAGGUUAGGGUUCAUAAGUUGGGAUUUAAUUACCUUUAUCGUGAAGAAGAUGAGGAAGCUUGCCUUUAUCAAAGCGACGUUCUCAAUCAUAGAGCACAGCGUCGACGGCCCGAUGAUCAAGCACAAUCUUCCCUAAAUUCCUAUCAUUGUCGGACUAAAUCAUCGUCUCCAAUGCCUAACAAUCUCAAGAAGAGAUGAAAAAAAAAAAAAAAAAAAAACAAUUUAGCAAAUACUUCACUGGGGAUCUUGCAAAUAUAUAGGAGAGCUUCCGCCCGUUAC
RNAcentral lists this long non-coding RNA (1323 nucleotides) under Brassica napus (rape). RNAcentral's name for it is "long non-coding RNA (BNAP_LNC024898)". Lineage: Eukaryota; Viridiplantae; Streptophyta; Magnoliopsida; Brassicales; Brassicaceae. The record is from RNAcentral.